AGGCUACAAUUCCAAUCACCUAAACAACCGAGCAAGACAGCCACUUCGACAAGGUUUACGGCCAGAGACCCGGGCUCUUCUCUCUCAUGUGUCUGAAUUACCUGGUUAUCUGCCCCAGGAGCUGAGUGCAGAGGCCCUGGGCCCACGAACCUAUCAGAGCCUCUCCUGACAUUUGGGACUUCGCUGUGAGAUUCUCCAGCCGGUGACUGGCCCCCUCUGGAUCCUUCGGGGC
RNAcentral lists this long non-coding RNA (232 nucleotides) under Phascolarctos cinereus (koala). Its description in RNAcentral is "lncRNA (ENSPCIG00000024583.2)". The record is from RNAcentral. Lineage: Eukaryota; Metazoa; Chordata; Mammalia; Diprotodontia; Phascolarctidae.